Molecule: ribosomal RNA, 196 nt
Filed under: uncultured bacterium
Lineage: Bacteria
Description: partial 16S ribosomal RNA
Rfam family: Bacterial small subunit ribosomal RNA
Source: RNAcentral
ACGCUCGACACCUACGGAGGCAGCAGUGGGGAAUAUUGCACAAUGGGGGAAACCCUGAUGCAGCGACGCCGCGUGAGCGAAGAAGUAUUUCGGUAUGUAAAGCUCUAUCAGCAGGGAAGAAACUGACGGUACCUGACUAAGAAGCACCGGCUAAAUACGUCACGCAGCCGCGGUAAUCUGAGCGGGCUGGCAAGGC